UUUGAGUUGAGGUUUGUUUAUGGCUCCUCAGACCGCUGUGUAUUACUAUCCUGCGGUCGUUACUAAUGUUGGUUUAACUACAGAAGCAAGCGGUCAGCAGCAUUCAUCUCUGGAGAUGUGUCUAACUCGGUGUUGCGGUGUGUUUUACCCGAUAAUAAGUAAGCAUAGGUCUUCAGUAAUGCUCAUUUAGGUUGUACUCGGGCUAUGCUGUCAUUUGACUACUAUAAUGCUGGUCUGUGAGAGUAGUCUUUGAGAAACAUGAUUAUAAAGGACUCAGGCUGGUUCUGAACAUCAGGCCUGCAAAUACCGAGCCAGGAAUGGAUGAAUAAUGAUGUCCUUGACUUGUGAGUCAUGCAAAUAAUCUCUAAAGCAGUAAAAAUACAGCCUUGGAAAUGAGCACAAUGGACCCGUUUAAGUUAUGCCAUCGCACAGUUUGAACAGAUGAUGAUUUUGAGGAUGCUUUGACACCUAAAGAAAGAUCAAAUUCAGAUAAUCCUUCCAAUAAUACCAGCCUGUUCUUUGAUUCUGCACUAUGACAGCUCAUUAGUGCACAGCUACUAAGAAGCUUGACCCCUCUGAGACCCCCUUCAGUUUCAAUGGAAGAUGAAAAUAUGCAUUAUUUCUGCGUCUAUUUCCAGUUAUCUGCAGUUGUGCGAUGGGAGAAAUUAGUCCAGAUGUUCCUGCAAACCCUCUGAUUCAGUCAUCCCUUGGCAGCUCUGCAGGCUGAGUGCAUCUCCUCAUCUUCAGGACCACCACAGAUCCUCUGGAUGUUCUCUUCUGGAGGCCCCGGUGCAGGACCAGAUGUCGUUGUUGUGCUGCUUCUCGGGAGUCAUUCACAUUUCCAUUAAUCAUUAUUCAAACAUCUCUCCUCCGCCUCCCCCGCUAACCAACCCAGCAUAUGGGCCGCCAUGUCUGCCACUGUGCCCACAACAAACGCGUCACCCGGCCCGUGGUUCAUCAAGGUCCCCCAUGAUGAAACAGCCUGAGCCGCUGAUCUCCCACUAAUUUAAAGAUAACUAUCACCUGUUCUCCGUGUGCCGCACCACACUCUGGAUGGUUUGUGAGUAAUUGGCCUGUGCCUUUUGCUUGAUUAAUUUGAUUGCUACAUUUUUCACUGUCCCCUCUCUGGUGAUUGCUCCGGCACUACAGGUGCUGGGUUUCAUUAAUUAUAUCCUUAAUUGGUUUGGAAAUGUUGAACGCAAGUUUGUUUUGGGGGAAGGUGGCAGUUUGUUUCGAGCGGCAAAACAUCUCAGCGUGUUUCUCCCACUUAAAAAGAUAAAUGAACCUCAUCUUUUCAGCAGAUUGUGGCGAAGAUGCAGGAGGUAACGAAACUCAAGGACAACAAGCUGCUGAGGCUGUUGGGUAUAAGACGGAGAAGUCUGGAGACUGAUAUGCACACUUGUCGACAUGUUCCCUCGGUGAAAUGUUUGAUUAAGAGUCUGACUAAGAUUUUACAAAAUAACAAGUCCAAGAAACAAGAGAAUAAAUCUGGUUUUAAGAUUUGAAAGUACUGUAGAUGUGGUUUGUUUUGGAGAAUCUACCGUUGAAUGCUUUGACAGACCUGAAAGAAGCUGUACAACUUCAAACGCCCCGAAUUUAUAGAGUCUAAGAACGUUAAACAAAGUAUCGCCACCAACCUAUAUCCUGUGGCAUGAUCCUUUUCAGGCUGUCAGCAUUAACUUGCUAAUUGGAACCUCAUUACGUUCCACAAUCAAUACCUUAAUUGUUUAAUUUUCCUUUUGCCACACCGUCAAUCACGGCUACACCUGCGAUGGAAAAUAACAACAUCUGCGCUCUUGAAUGAUGCAUUUCACAUGUGCACUUGGAGUCAAGUGGAAUGAAACUAUAACCAAAGUGCUUUAAGCCUGAGCUGCCAUCCAUGAGCUAAGCAUGCUGUUACGGCCAAUUACACCGAUGUCAAUGGGCAAGCUCUUUAAGAAAACUAGCACAGCACUAUUUUGAGCAUGCAUGAAACUAAACUGCAGGAGUGAACUGCAGCACAGUCCUGAGUCUUUAACACUGUGGAAGACCCUGUCUCCCUCCUGUUCUUUGUGUUUUGUUCCUUGUGUCAGUUUUCAGUGUUUCCUGUUUUAUUUUGUAGGAGUUGAUUCCUUGUGUUUCUGGUCUGGUUUUACUUCCCUAGUUUUCCCUCCAUUGUUAAUCACCAUGAUAAAUCUCACCUGUGCCUCGUUUGCCUCACCUGUUGCUCGUUUCCCUGUGUGUAUAUAUAGUCCCUGUCUUCCCCUGUUUCUUUGUUGGUUCAUUGUAUGUCGAUGUGAAUGCUUGUCUGUGUAGUCUAUGUGUGAAUCCUUAGUCUCCUUGGGUUUUUUUUUUUUCCCUGGGCCUUUAGUUGGAUUUUGCCUUGGGAUUUAUUUUAGUGGACAUUUUGAAUGAAGUUUUUGUUGCUUUUCAUUUAGUUCCUUUUAAAUAAAUCCUUCUUUGCUCUGAAAUUGGGUCCUUUUUCCCGUUGUUCAACUCUGCCCCUUAACAGACGGGGGAUAAAAUGGUACAUUUUAAAGCAUAUUUUUUAAGCAAGCUGACCUCAUAAGAUGUGAUUAAAAACAACAUAGACAAAAUUAAAAGUCCUCCUCUAAAGGAUACAGUGGUCUGUGGAGCCCUCGGGUGAUUCAGGUGCAGCAUAUUGUGAAGCCUGAUCAGCCAUAGUCUUCUCCCAAAUCAGGACACAAUUAAGAACUGCUCAACCUUUUUUUUCAAUAUGGACUUAAAAACUGUUUUCAAAUGCAAAACAUGGUGAUUUCUAAACUCAAUUAAGAAUGUGAUUGAAUAUGUAGUUAAUAUAGAGCUCUGCAAACUGUUCGCACAUGCUCUUGAUGUCCUCAGACAAAUAGUCAUGUGUGAUUUGGAGGCCAAUAACAAUGGUGGACUACUAAGCUGUGUUUGUGCCGGAGACCAUACUGACAUUACCAAAGCUGCUCCAGCAAAUUGUAGAUCUAUGUGUUUUUCAAUAUGCAUUAAUAUGACAUUGGGGCCGACCACAUAAGACCUCAGGAGUAGGAACAUUUUCACUGCUCUAACGUACACUUGAAACAGAUCCUCAUUGGGUGAACACAUUUACAAUAAAACAAUCAUAUCACUUUAACCACGGAGGCCAAACAAAGUAUCUGACCCCUUUGAUUUCAUCUGGCAGACGGCACCACACCAUCUUAACCUGACGCUCACUCAGCUGUGUUUGUGCUGAAAAAAGGUGUAGACACAAUCCCGCUCACUAUGAAAAGCAACCACGUGUGAGAAAAGACGAUGACCGCAACAGGCUGAGAUGAGGAUUGAUUUUUCUGACACUGCGGUGGUGAUCAACAUGUAAGACAUACAACAUAGACAGGCUGUAAACACACAGCUCUGGUUAUACAGGAUGUACGGGGGCUGUUUACUCUGAGGUGCAUUUUAGUGUUAAAGCUUCAGGGCAGUAAAGGUUUAUGUCUGGUUUAAUUGCAUGGCAGUAUUCUGCUUAUUCUAGCAGACAUGUGGAGCAUCUCAACAAGGGAGUUUACCCUGAUCAAACCUGUCUGCAGGUCUCUACUUCAGCCUGACCCUCUAAUUCAAAGAGGUUUUUCUAAAUUUCUUUCUUUUUAAUCCCCAUUUUUUCAUGUCUCCAUUGUUCCCUUUCAUUGUUUCAUUUCAAACCCGAACACAAGGUGAUAAAAAUUGGAUUUUUUGUUUUGUUUGUCGUUUGAUAUAUAAACCAAAGCUGCUAAGUUACACACUGCCUGCUGUAAAAACCAAGCUCAACACUACAACUUUGAAAAGUCUGCAUCGAGAUCCGUGGACUAAUGGUUUGAAGUACAUAUUUUUUUGGUCAGAGAUGAUAUUUGGAAAGAUACACACACAAAAACAUAUUGAUUGAUUAUAUUUUGGUUGGAUGGCUCCAGUAAAAAAUUCUCAUCGGCAGAUUUGUGAAAAAUGUAGAAAAUGAAACUACAACAACCCGCAAGGCUGAAUGAUUUGAAAAAGUGGCUAUCAGUACAUGAUGUCAAGCAUCUGAGCUGAAAUAUUAAAAAGUUUUUACUCAGGAUAUUUUGUGUACUUUUUAUAAAAUCUUUGGCUGGAAGAGAGUUUGAGGAAUUGUUGCUGUAACUCUGUUGCUCUCUGAUAAGUCAUCAUCCAUUACUCACGACGUCGAGAGCUCAUUUUUUUCUUUUUCACCGGCUAUGUGACUGGAAAAAAAAUGAGUUUAUAUCUAAGACCAGAUCUUUGAGUUGCAGAUAAACCGAUGUAUGUGAUUUCUUUAAUAAGCAACGUCAAUUUCAUCAGUUUCCAGAUAAUCACACUCUAACAGUGCACUGUUAUGUUUAUGCAUUUGGGUGUUAACACAGUACAGAAGAUCUGAAGUAUGUGAAACAGGCUGAGGGUUGUGUUGCAGCUUAAGAGAAGAGCGAGUUGUCCUUACUUUUACUUCUUGGAAGCUCCAUCUGUGUGUGUGGUAACCCCAACCUGGAUUGAUGCACCCUUCCCCCACACCAGAAAGUGGAUGGUCCAGGAUUGAUUCAUCUGAGAGCUCACAAAGCGCUCUGGGCUGCUGGGGAAACCUGUACUCCUCAUCUGCACCACACACUCUCUCCACACACACUCACAGGUAUGCACAUACACACUCCACCUGCAGCAUCUUAGCUCCUCUUAAUCAUGUAAUGUGCUCUGUGUCUACACCUGGAUCCUCUGCAGGCUGAUCUUAGUAAUGGAUCUGCAGCUCUCCAACACUUGACCCUGAGUGUAAGUCUGUGUGUGUGAAAAUGGCCAUUUGUCUGGUCUGGCCUGCACUGUCACCUGGUUUGCUCUCAGGAGAGCCCGGUGCAAGCAAUUUGCUCCCUCACACACACACACACACACACUCACUAUACAGAUGCAGCUGUUGUUUACUACCCACACUCUCCAGAGUCAACUUCAUCACAGAAGCACCUGAGCAACUUUGUUUCUGUUUCAGGAGCUGGAAGGAUGAGUCGGGGCAGUUUUUGUUCCUUCUUUUUUGUAAUUCUGUCUGGUUUGUCCAGGUGACAACUGCAAUAAUCACUCGUCUGAAAUACUCAGUGGGAAUUGAUGUCAAACAUGUCCUUUCUCUGUAGUGCUUGGUGAUUCACCCUCUCAAAUGGAGUCCCUCAGGGGUCUGUCUUGGGUCCCCUCUUAUUCAAUGUACAUGAAACUCCUGAGUAGGCAAAGUGUAAACUUUCGCCAUGAUGCAGAUGACACUCAGGUUUAUGCCCUGUCACAACCUGACACCACCGAUGUGUCUCACAUUAUGACUCGCCUGACUGAAUUAAACAUCUGAAAAUCUUCUGCAGCUGAGAGACUCCAUAUCUAAAGUAAUUGUCAUUCCUGCUACAUUAAUAAUCCGUCCUGUAAUGCAACUUAUUCUGGCAUCAGUGAGCACGAUGUACAGAGACUACAAUUUACUUAAAAUGCUGCUGCCCAAUUUUUAACACCAAAUAAGAAAAGAAACCCGUACAGGCUUCCUGCACCCUAUAUCUAUGAGCUGCUAACUACCUAUAAGGUCCUCUAGCAGGGUCCUUCUCAUGGUUCCUAAAUCUAGACUACAGUCAUAACUGGCGACUGAGCAUUUUCGCAUGUGCCCGGAGGCUCAUAACGCGUUGAUCUGACUGUUUUUCAUACCAAUGUGAAUUUGUUAGUGUGCGUUUUUAGCUGCUACAUUCGUAAAGACACGUGUUAAAGCUUCUGUCUGCAUAAAUGAGGGUAAGAUUCAUGGUUAGUCCCUGUGGCCCAGUGCAUAAUAAAUGAUGAUAUAACAAAGAGAGCAAUAUAUGACCAGGCUCCAUUUAUCUUGCAGCAAAGCAAAGUAAUUUUCUGUCUUUUGAUGUGCCUGAAAACACUGCACGCUCUUUCUUUUGAACUUCGAUGGGAGCAAUUAGAGUCCUCGAAGCUCAGAGAACAGAAAUGAAAGUCAAACAGCGAAGGCCUGCUUGUUAACAGCUUGGGAUAAUGCUUUCUGAUCCUGUGUAAAAAAAAAUACCUGGUUAUUUUGGCAUUGUAGAUAUCUUUAGCAGCCAUUACUUGUUUUCACUGGAGAGUUGUAGACGGCAAAGUCAUUAUGUUCCUCCUGCUGUGCGUGUUCUGUUGCAUUUAGCCUCUCAGGUGGAUGUUUGUGGGUCUGUCAGUCAGAAGUGCAGAGUCCUCGAAGGUUGGAAAAGGACGUUCUGAAGAGCGUUUCUGCUACUUUCUCAAAUUCAGCAGCGAACAACAAUAAGAUUAGCUUUCAGACAGCGACUAAGCAGCACAAUAGCAGCAGCCAACCAGAACUGAGAUGCUGCUGAGCGUCCAUUGAUUUCUGCAGGUUUUGUCUGUCCUUCUGCAGAGCUCCUCCUGUCACACACUCUCUAAGCACCGAUGGCACCUCCAGUCUCCGCCUCACUGCAGAGGGAGCCUCAGAGGAUCCUGCCGGACUCCAGCCUGUCACAAGCUGUUUAGAAAGCGGCGGACGGCGCCAGACUGUAAUCAGCUUCAGGGUCUCCAUCCUGCAACACACUGAUACAGACAAUCCAAUCACCCACAAUGCCUGUCAAAAUGAGGAUCUGGUGGCGCAUCUGACUCUAUGGGUUGUUGUCUUCCUCUGAUGCUUGAGGAAAUAACUCUGCAAAGACGAGCCAAGAGUCAGUAUGAACACAAGAAAAGGGUGGAUAAUAGUUAUCAGUUAUUAACAUUUAUAUCAUUGAAGCAAAAGCUUUUUCUUCUGUCUAAAACUUCUCUUCAGUUGUCGUUUAUCCUUUUCAGCAUCCCUUAAUCUUCAGGUCCUUGUCACAGGCUUUAAUAAACAGAUAAUAAGCGUAUAAUAAGACCUUAUAAUCAAUAAGCAUUAUUAACACAUUACUGCUAAAAAACACUGACAGACCCGUUAAAAAAACACGUUCCUGGUUUAUAUAUCUGUCAUAAGCAUCAAUAGGAUGUUAUUAACAUUAAUAAGACUUUUUAGAGAUUAGUAUUUAGUCACACGCUUGCAGUGUUUGAUUUUAAUAAACUUAAAUAUAACAAUAUAAACUUUUUUUUAUCAUUAUAACUAACAUUUGUUAUUGCUUAUAAGCUCUCAGUGACAAUUUAUAGACUUAACUUUUGAUAAGAUGUGAUAUCUUAUUAAUAAACAUGCUAUUAAUGUUUAUGACAGUUAUAUAAACUGUUUACAAGCUUUUAAUGAGCGCCUAUAAAUGUCUUAUAAGCAGUAAUUGAUGUUUUAAGUAUGCUAUGAUGCAGGUGAAUGUUUAAAAGCAUCUUUUGACUUGUUAGCGUUUUAGUAAUGCUCAUUUUAAGGCCCUUGAUAUGAAGUGUUAUUGUAAAGGAUACAUGAUGACUAGAACUGGUUUAAGACGGAAAAAGCAUCUUAAUUAAAACAAAAUAAAGGCUGUUGUGUGCCGUGUCUUCAGUUAUUGGUCUAAAACAGCUGUAUAACUGCUAAAAACUUUAUAAGACACGAUAAGAUACAGUCUAAGUGGAUGUAAGUCGCGUUCACCAGUCUCUCACUCAGACUCUGCACAGGGUUUCAGUGGAUGCUGUGGAUCUGUCACCCUGAUGUUACAUUUUCUAUUGAUCUACGGAUCACAUGCGGUCCAAACCACAGUGGGGUGAUAUGAACAGAUCAGGGAUCAGCUAUGAUCUGUGACACCACAUGGGUGCAUAUUUGUUUAUAACCUUAAAAAUGCCAUGAGAGUUCACGAACCAUGUAUGUUUCAUUUCGAUACCAGUAAAUGUCAGAUACUGUAUAUGAAACGACUGAAGCGUGUUCAAAUUUCAGCCACACGGGGCAUCAGCAUCUCCACCCAUCCUGCAGUUAAUCAAAGAUAGUUUCCGUCAGCCUACGAAUACGUCAAACUCUGAUGCUCUUAAAGACCCAAACACCUUAAAGCAUAAAGCAAUCAGAAUUUAUUGUCGGUAGUUCAAUAAUAUUUGAGCUGAAAGUCAUUUUGUCAUUUCUUCCCUCUUUGAAAUUCAGCAGAGAUCCACUUUUAGUCAGCACCUCUUGGUCUCAAGGUUGUGGCUGCGUUCUUUCCUGUUGUUUCAUAAAUCAGGGGGUAAUGUGAUUGGCCGAGAUCGAGUCAGAGAGGCGAUUAAUUCUCCCGACUCCUCCAGCAGCACUUAAGGUGGCAUUACCAACACUCCAAAUAUAUUAUUUCAGAGGACUCUCCUCUCGUUAAACGCUGCAUGAAAUAAUGGAGGGAUGCAACAAAGAGCUUCAUGAUUCCUCCUCCUCCUCGAACUCUUUCCUUCAGUUGCUUCCUUUCCGUAUCCACUUAUCAUGCAUGCUCUCUACAAAUGGUUCAAAGUGCCUCUCUGCAGCCCACAUUAGACUCCACUUUAAUGGCUGAUGGUACAUUAUGGUACAUACAGUGUGUGAAUUAGGAGAGCUGAACCACUUCAAGCCAGCGUUAUCAUCUCAGUGUUGCACAGAGAGACGUUUCCUCUCGGGGCUUUCGCACAGAUGAAAAGGAUUUCCCGUCCCCUCGCUCAAGGCC
RNAcentral lists this long non-coding RNA (8465 nucleotides) under Xyrichtys novacula (pearly razorfish). The record is from RNAcentral. Lineage: Eukaryota; Metazoa; Chordata; Actinopteri; Labriformes; Labridae.